This 145-nucleotide microRNA precursor is filed under the name Paramuricea clavata. Lineage: Eukaryota; Metazoa; Cnidaria; Anthozoa; Malacalcyonacea; Plexauridae. The record is from RNAcentral.
AUCAGACUUGUUACAAGGUUGUUCUAACAAGUCUGAUACAGUCAUGAUAUAGCAAGAAUGUUACAAGGUUGACGACACAAUGUUGUAACAAUACUGUUAUAUCAUAACUGUAUCGGACUUGUUGGAACAACCUUGUAAUACUGUA